This 462-nucleotide ribosomal RNA is filed under the name uncultured bacterium. RNAcentral describes it as "bacterial SSU rRNA". It matches the Rfam family "Bacterial small subunit ribosomal RNA", at positions 29 to 507 of the family's 1533-position model. The record is from RNAcentral.
AAUGAACGUUGGCGGCGUGGAUCAGGCAUGCAAGUCGAGCGCUCAUCAGCAAUGGUGGGAGCGGCGAACGGCGUAGUAAUGUGUAGGAACGUACCCUCUGGUCGGGGAUAGCUACGGGAAACUGUAGGUAAUACCCGAUGAUCUCUGUGGAGCAAAGGUGUGAUUCCGCCGGGGGAGCGGCUUACAUGAUAUUAGCUAGUUGGUGGGGUAAUGGCCUACCAAGGCUUAGAUGUCUAGGGGGUGUGAGAGCAUGGCCCCCACGACCGGAACUGAGAUACUGUCCGGACACCUACGGGUGGCUGCAGUCGAGAAUCUUCCGCAAUGGACGAAAGUCUGACGGAGCGACGCCGCGUGCGGGAUGAAGGCCCUUGGGUUGUAAACCGCUGUCAGAGGGGAUGAAAUCUCCGAGGGUUAUCCCUCGGAGUUGACAGAGCCUCAGAGGAAGCACGGGCUAAGUAUGUG